AUGCCUAGGAAAUUGCCCUGAUGUGGGGGAUAACCAUUGGAAACGAUGGCUAAUACCGCAUGAUGCCUACGGGCCAAAGAGGGGGACCUUCGGGCCUCUCGCGUCAGGAUAUGCCUAGGUGGGAUUAGCUAGUUGGUGAGGUAAGGGCUCACCAAGGCGACGAUCCCUAGCUGGUCUGAGAGGAUGAUCAGCCACACUGGAACUGAGACACGGUCCAGACUCCUACGGGAGGCAGCAGUGGGGAAUAUUGCACAAUGGGCGCAAGCCUGAUGCAGCCAUGCCGCGUGUGUGAAGAAGGCCUUCGGGUUGUAAAGCACUUUCAGUCGUGAGGAAGGUAGUGUAGUUAAUAGCUGCAUUAUUUGACGUUAGCGACAGAAGAAGCACCGGCUAACUCCGUGCCAGCAGCCGCGGUAAUACGGAGGGUGCGAGCGUUAAUCGGAAUUACUGGGCGUAAAGCGCAUGCAGGUGGUUUGUUAAGUCAGAUGUGAAAGCCCGGGGCUCAACCUCGGAAUAGCAUUUGAAACUGGCAGACUAGAGUACUGUAGAGGGGGGUAGAAUUUCAGGUGUAGCGGUGAAAUGCGUAGAGAUCUGAAGGAAUACCGGUGGCGAAGGCGGCCCCCUGGACAGAUACUGACACUCAGAUGCGAAAGCGUGGGGAGCAAACAGGAUUAGAUACCCUGGUAGUCCACGCCGUAAACGAUGUCUACUUGGAGGUUGUGGCCUUGAGCCGUGGCUUUCGGAGCUAACGCGUUAAGUAGACCGCCUGGGGAGUACGGUCGCAAGAUUAAAACUCAAAUGAAUUGACGGGGGCCCGCACAAGCGGUGGAGCAUGUGGUUUAAUUCGAUGCAACGCGAAGAACCUUACCUACUCUUGACAUCCAGAGAACUUUCCAGAGAUGGAUUGGUGCCUUCGGGAACUCUGAGACAGGUGCUGCAUGGCUGUCGUCAGCUCGUGUUGUGAAAUGUUGGGUUAAGUCCCGCAACGAGCGCAACCCUUAU
This 999-nucleotide ribosomal RNA is filed under the name Vibrio alginolyticus. Its description in RNAcentral is "bacterial SSU rRNA". It matches the Rfam family "Bacterial small subunit ribosomal RNA", at positions 113 to 1108 of the family's 1533-position model. Lineage: Bacteria; Pseudomonadati; Pseudomonadota; Gammaproteobacteria; Vibrionales; Vibrionaceae. The record is from RNAcentral.